UUUGUUCCAUCCUCCAGAUUCAUGCUUUUUUUCCAAACCAUUAAAGAACAAAAAGAAAAGGUGCACAAUUUACUCAAACCCACAAAAUUAAAAUUAAUUACACCAUAAUCAGGCAAAAGAUUCAAAAUUCUCAAUGUUUAGUGGUCGAUAGUCCGAAGAAUUAACACUGCAUUCCUGAAACACAGAGGAUUAAAAAUUUUGGAUUAUCAUCAAUGAAAUGCACUAAUACAGAACUGAAAUUCUGAUAUUCAAUAAACAGGAUGUUGAUAAAGGUUAUGCUUGCCUGGAAUAACCAGAUUGAUAAGGUGAAAAUUUUGAGGCUUUAAGGUCUGAGCUAAAAGUUGAAGCUUCUACUUUCCAACUCGGGAAGAAAUAAUUGUGAAAAUGCACAAAAUAAAAGGCUUGAUUUCCAAACCAUUAAAAGGAAAUUAAGAAAUUAAUUUAUAUAUUUAAUUUGGGUGAGGGAUUUGAACAGAAAACCCAUUUGUUCCAUCCUCCAGAUUCAUGCUUUUUUUCCAAACCAUUAAAGAACAAAAAGAAAAGGUGCACAAUUUACUCAAACCCACAAAAUUAAAAUUAAUUACACCAUAAUCAGGCAAAAGAUUCAAAAUUCUCAAUGUAAAAACCCAAAUUAAACAUAAAAUUCAAAAUUAACGACGCAACAACCCAAACCUAGAUAUGAACAUUUCAGCAAAACCUAAACCCUAGACAGGCACAAAUGUUCAUUUCUUCAUAGAAAAUUUACAAAAUUUUAAAGAAUGACAACCCCAGCAAAACAAAAUCCAAACAUAUCCAAAAUUAGCAAGAUAGACACAAACCCAAAAGCAAAUCAGCCUCUCAGACUAAGCAAACACGGUAGCAGCCAUACACGCCCAUGGCUCUUUCCAUCUCAGGAGGCCAUGACCGACGACGGAAUAACCAAAAAUACCAAAGAAAACGCAGAUUCCAAACAAACCCAAAUCGAAAUGAACCCUAGAAAUUGAAAAUUUAAAUUGGGGGAGCUCUGAAAUUUUACCUAAAUAGCAACUUAGGAGUUGCCGCAGCACCAUUAAUUCACAACUAAGCCGUAGCCAUAUACAUUCCUCAACAAUCUUUGAAUUUUAAUUAAAACUCAAAAAAUAUUAGUAAAUGGUUAAAGAUAAGUUAUAUAACCGCAGGCAUAUCCAUUCCUCAGCAGUCUUUCAAUUUUAAUUAAAACGCAAAAAAUAAAAAUAAAAAACGGUUAAUGAUAAGUUACACACCUGAUCCAUAAAGCGUUUGCAAACUCCCACAACAAAACCCUAAAAUUGGAAGAUAAAUGUUUCCUGCAACCAAAAAUGAAAUCAAACAAAAGAUCCACACGCAAAUCAGCAAAAAAUGAAGAAAGCAUUUAGCAAGAAUUGAAUUUUACAACAAUCAAUUAAAAAAAAUUCUCAAGAUGAAAUGUUCCAUUAGUCCUAAUAAUAUUAGGUUAUAUAUAUGUAGCAAUAAGAUUACACAAUACAAUAGUUUUGUGUAGAUCCAAAUACAUGUAGGUGCUUCUUUCAUUCAUCUUUUCAGACUUUUCCUUAAUGGCAAUUUUCAUUAAUUGUUUGAGCUCUACUGUACCGUUCUUUGAUCGUUAUCGUUAUAUCAGUUGCUUUCUGGUGUUCAUGUAAGUAAACUCGUAUGAUAUCCCAUGCCAAAAAUCGAAAUUGUAAUGUUAUUGCUCCGGAAGGAUGAAAAGCAAACAAAUCACCAGCAUAUCAUAUAAAUUGCAAAUCUAGAAUACAAACUAUAGAAACAAAGCCAAAUUGUUCAGUAAAAAUUGAUAGACUAUACAUAAAUUACACCAAGACACACACAGAGAUGCAUAGAAUUCUACAAUUUUGCCCCAAAUUAGACCAAAAGGAAGACAAACAGGGGAAAACCCACAUACCUCCUACUACGAAUGAGCCGUAUGAUUCCAGACCGAAAUCCUGAUCUCAUUAGGGCUCAAAACCCGAAAUUUUGGAGAGAGAAUCAAGCAGCUGAAGAGCACUGCUGCAGUUCCAUCAAGUAACACGACCAGUACAGCAAAGCAAGAGGGAAAUAUGGAGUCCUCGCCUUAGGCUCGUGUCCCGUUAACUACAGGCCCCCAUACUUUUCUCUGACUGUCCCCCCUCUCCCACUCAUGAAAUCGAAGAUCUGCAGCAAUGGCGCUGAGAUCCCCAUUCCUCUCUCUUU
RNAcentral lists this long non-coding RNA (2184 nucleotides) under Malus domestica (apple). RNAcentral describes it as "long non-coding RNA (MDOM_LNC005208)". The record is from RNAcentral. Lineage: Eukaryota; Viridiplantae; Streptophyta; Magnoliopsida; Rosales; Rosaceae.